RNAcentral lists this long non-coding RNA (222 nucleotides) under Rattus norvegicus (Norway rat). RNAcentral's name for it is "long non-coding RNA NONRATT028031". Lineage: Eukaryota; Metazoa; Chordata; Mammalia; Rodentia; Muridae. The record is from RNAcentral.
UUGGUUUUGUUUGUUCCUGUGCUCAUUUAAUUUACUUUGAGUGUAUGAGUAUUUUACCUACAUGUAUAUCUAUAUACCAUGGGUGUGCCUGGUGCCCACAGAAGCCAGAAGAGGGCACUGAUCCCCUGAAACUGGAGUUACCGACAAUUAUGGGUUACCCUGUAAGCGCUGGGAAUGGAACUAGAGUCCUUUACAAGAGCAACAAGUGCUUUUAACUGCUGA